This is a long non-coding RNA of Photinus pyralis (common eastern firefly), 372 nucleotides long. RefSeq lists it as uncharacterized. Lineage: Eukaryota; Metazoa; Arthropoda; Insecta; Coleoptera; Lampyridae. The transcript is spliced from 2 exons. The record is from RefSeq and is a predicted model, not a curated record.
ACUUCAUGAAAAUUUAGAUCGUUACUAACUUUACAACGAUCGAUUAUUUCCCAAAUAGCUUCGGGACACUUGUGAAAACUAAAAAUGUCUAUAAUAAAUUCUUUAAUGCCUAGAAUGUGUACACGCUUUGGCAAAAAGCACGCAGAAAUGGCUUCGCAUUGGAUUGGAACUGGUGCUGCCUAUGGAGCUACUGCAGGACUAGCACUCUGUUAUUUUACCGAAUGGAAAGCAGUUUUACAAUAUCUACCGUACUAUGGUGGCAAAUAUGUAGAAUCGGAUUAGUUUGGUUGUAAAUAAAAUAGUUAAUGUAGAUAAUUACUUUAAUAUUUAUACAUGCGACAUUACAUUUCAAUUACAUUUUGUGGUAGUGUG